AAGGAAGAAGGCGAAAAUGCAGAUAUUCGUGAAAACUCUGACCGGUAAAACGAUAACGCUGGAAGUUGAAUCCAGCGAUACCAUCGAUAAUGUUAAAGCUAAGAUACAGGACAAGGAAGGAAUUCCACCGGAUCAGCAAAGAUUGAUCUUUGCUGGAAAACAGCUUGAAGACGGCCGCACCUUGGCCGACUAUAAUAUCCAGAAGGAGUCAACUCUCCACCUUGUCCUCCGUCUUCGGGGCGGCAUGCAGAUCUUCGUUAAAACCCUCACCGGCAAGACCAUA
This 283-nucleotide unclassified non-coding RNA is filed under the name Hevea brasiliensis (rubber tree). Lineage: Eukaryota; Viridiplantae; Streptophyta; Magnoliopsida; Malpighiales; Euphorbiaceae. The record is from RNAcentral.